ACGAGCAUGAAUCUGAAGAUAAUAAUUGCUACGUUAGAUUAAUAACUCAUUAGAUGAUAUGUAUAUCAAGUAAACAUUAAAAAAAUGACCACACAAAGUAAGACAUGUUAAAUUGUUAUAUAAAUAUUGAAUAUGUCAGAAUUUCUUCAAGAGAAGAAAAGAGGAAAAAGAAUGGAUAUUGUAGCCUAGGUGCAAAUAAGGACAUCUCAAGCAAAGAUAGCUGAAGCUAUUACUUCUGUAAUGAAACCAAAAUCAGGGUUAAAUGCACUGCAACUAUGAGAUAAAUCAAUGAUCAUAAGACGUGUUCUGUUCAUAUGAUAGUGAUAUCUAAUUUGAUCAAGUGUCAGUUUCUAUGGUCAACAAACUGACCAUUGGAUUUUAGUCUCUAAAUCAAUUGCAGGAGACAGUAAACCUACAAGUCAAACAUCAAAAGUCAUUUGGGUUGAGUACAUUAUAAAAAUUUUGGUAAUCCUGACUUAAACAUUAAGAAUUAUUAGCAUAUCAGGUUUCCAAAGUGUAAAUUAAAGUAUCAUUUAUAGCUCAAAUGAUUUUCAAAAGAAAAAUUCCAGUCAGUUCAUGCUAUGUGCUAAAAAAUCUCGAGCAUAUUUUGAGCAUAAAGAUUCCAUAACACAAACCAGUAAACCUGUCAGUAACUUUGAGAGGCCAACUCGUCUUUUCAAGAACACAAUCAUAUUGCAGUGCCUUAAAGUUAUACAAAAGUUUUGGCAGAUCAGAAUGAACAAAAAUUGGUCAGAGUAAACUUAUGAAAUUAUUCAUGAUCAAAACUUGGCUCUGUUCUACCUUCACAUCAGAAGAGAAAUUUG
This 824-nucleotide unclassified non-coding RNA is filed under the name Hevea brasiliensis (rubber tree). Lineage: Eukaryota; Viridiplantae; Streptophyta; Magnoliopsida; Malpighiales; Euphorbiaceae. The record is from RNAcentral.